AGGAAACCCAAAGUAAAUCCAUGC
RNAcentral lists this small RNA (24 nucleotides) under Brassica napus (rape). Its description in RNAcentral is "PsRNA_61". The record is from RNAcentral. Lineage: Eukaryota; Viridiplantae; Streptophyta; Magnoliopsida; Brassicales; Brassicaceae.